RNAcentral lists this long non-coding RNA (183 nucleotides) under Polistes fuscatus (common paper wasp). RNAcentral's name for it is "uncharacterized LOC122519956". Lineage: Eukaryota; Metazoa; Arthropoda; Insecta; Hymenoptera; Vespidae. The record is from RNAcentral.
AGUUAAGAAGAAUGAUACAAGUCUUUUGAGAAAAGCGCCUAAGUAUCGGUCCUGAUGAGAAAAAGAUUCUGGAUGGACGGAUUUAAUCGCGCAGAUCGAAGUUUAUUUUACUGGGGAGGAUAAAAACGAAGAUUUGUAGGAGAAUAAAGUUUUCUUUUUGUUUAGUAAAAAUGAUUAAAUCGU